UACGGAAGGCAGCAGUGGGGAAUAUUGCACAAUGGGCGAAAGCCUGAUGCAGCUAUGCCGCGUGUAUGAAGAAGGCCUUAGGGUUGUAAAGUACUUUCAUCGGGGAGGAAAAAACAAAACUAAUAAUUUUAUUUCUUGACGUUACCCGAAAAAGAAGCACCGGCUAACUCCGUGCCAGCAGCCGCGGUAAUACGGAGGGUGCUAGCGUUAAUCAGAAUUACUGGGCGUAAAGAGCACGUAGGUGGUUUUUUUAAGUCAGAUGUGAAAUCCCUGGGCUUAACCUAGGAACUGCAUUUUGAAACUGAAAUACUAGAGUAUCGUAGAGGGAGGUAGAAUUCUAGGUGUAGCGGUGAAAUGCGUAGAUAUCUGGAGGAAUACCUGUGGCGAAAGCGGCCUCCUAAACGAAUACUGACACUGAGGUGCGAAAAGCGUGGGGAGCGAAAACAGGGAUUAGAUACC
RNAcentral lists this ribosomal RNA (459 nucleotides) under uncultured bacterium. RNAcentral describes it as "bacterial SSU rRNA". It matches the Rfam family "Bacterial small subunit ribosomal RNA", at positions 340 to 786 of the family's 1533-position model. The record is from RNAcentral.